Molecule: long non-coding RNA, 1035 nt
Organism: Solanum stenotomum
Lineage: Eukaryota; Viridiplantae; Streptophyta; Magnoliopsida; Solanales; Solanaceae
Exons: 2
Source: RefSeq, a predicted model, not a curated record
CAACCAUACUUUGAAACACCCACUCGAAUUAAUCAGCAAAAAAUUCAUCCCCAUAUCGAAGAUUCAAGUUUUCUUUACUAGGUGGUACAUACAUUCGACUUGUAAAAAGUUAAGAGAAAAAGACAAAUAGUUCUGGAAAAAUUUGAUAUAUUCCACCAGUAAUGCGCUAAAAGACUUUGCAGAAUCUUUGCUCCUUAGUUUUCUGUUUUAGUAAACCUCAUUCAAUUAAUUCUACAACUUUGAAGAUGUGUAGGAAGUUUAGGAACAAGAAGAUCCAGAUUUUCUCAAGUAUCCAACGCCACCCGUGUUAGAGUUUGUUCCACUAUACCUAUCUGUAAUGGCUCCAUAAAAGUACAUAGGAGCACUCAACAUUGGUUUUCAACUGUCCAUCAUAAUUGGUAUACUUGGAGCCCAUGUCUUGAACUAUUUCUUUGCCAAGAUUCAUGGGGGGUGAAGAUUAAGCUUAGGAGGUACCAUGCUACCUGUAUUAAUCAUCACAGUAGGCUCAUUGUUCCUCCCCGAGACCUAAAUUCCAUAAUAGAACGUGAUAAUCACAACAAAGCCAAGUUUAAGCUGAAGAGAAUCAGGGGAAGUGAAGAUAUAGAUGAAGAGUUCAAUGAUUUAGUUAUGGCAAAUGAAAUCUCUAGGAAAAUAGAACACCCUUGGAGGAAUUUGUUGCAAAAGAAAUAUACGCCACAUCUCACCAUGGCAAUUAUAAUUCCAUUAUUCUAGCAACUUACUGGAAUCAAUGUGAUUAUGUUCUAUGAAUCAGUGUUGUUUAAGACUAUUGGUUUUGGUGCUGAUACUUCAGCUUUGUCUAUUGUUAUCACUGGUGGAGUCAAUAUCAUUGCCACUGUAGUUUCUAUUUACUACUAUAUAUGUUGAUAAAUUGGGAAGGAGAUUCUUGUUUCUUCAAGUGGGAUUUCAAAUGCACUUUUGCCAAGUAAGUUAAUUUUAUUCAUUUCAUGUUCUUGGAAUUUUUCAUGGUGAAACUUUCGUUGGUUCUAUUACAUGACUGAUCCCCUCUAUUUGACA